AGUGAACGCUGGCGGUAGGCCUAACACAUGCAAGUCGAACGGCAGCACAGUAAGAGCUUGCUCUUACGGGUGGCGAGUGGCGGACGGGUGAGGAAUACAUCGGAAUCUACUUUUUCGUGGGGGAUAACGUAGGGAAACUUACGCUAAUACCGCAUACGACCUACGGGUGAAAGCAGGGGAUCUUCGGACCUUGCGCGAUUGAAUGAGCCGAUGUCGGAUUAGCUAGUUGGCGGGGUAAAGGCCCACCAAGGCGGCGAUCCGUAGCUGGUCUGAGAGGAUGAUCAGCCACACUGGAAGUGAGACACGGUCCAGACUCCUACGGGAGGCAGCAGUGGGGAAUAUUGGACAAUGGGCGCAAGCCUGAUCCAGCCAUACCGCGUGGGUGAAGAAGGCCUUCGGGUUGUAAAGCCCUUUUGUUGGGAAAGAAAAGCAGCAGGUUAAUACCCCGCUGUUCUGACGGUACCCAAAGAAUAAGCACCGGCUAACUUCGUG
This 492-nucleotide ribosomal RNA is filed under the name uncultured bacterium. Its description in RNAcentral is "partial 16S ribosomal RNA". It matches the Rfam family "Bacterial small subunit ribosomal RNA", at positions 29 to 507 of the family's 1533-position model. The record is from RNAcentral.